This 361-nucleotide ribosomal RNA is filed under the name uncultured bacterium. RNAcentral's name for it is "bacterial SSU rRNA". It matches the Rfam family "Bacterial small subunit ribosomal RNA", at positions 29 to 381 of the family's 1533-position model. The record is from RNAcentral.
AAUGAACGCUGGCGGCGCGCCUAAUACAUGCAAGUCGAGCGAGAAGACGUAGCAAUACGUUUGUAAAGCGGCGAACGGGUGAGGAAUACAUGGGUAACCUACCCUCGAGUGGGGAAUAACUAGCCGAAAGGUUAGCUAAUACCGCGUACGCUCCUUGGACUUCGGUUCAGGGAGGAAAGCGAUACCGUGGGUAUCGCGCUCUUGGUUGGGCUCAUGUCCUAUCAGCUUGUUGGUGAGGUAACGGCUCACCAAGGCUUCGACGGUAGCUGGUCUGAGAGGACGAUCAGCCACACUGGCACUGCGACACGGGCCAGACUCCUACGGGAGGCAGCAGUAAGGAAUAUUGCGCAAUGGGCGAAAG